This is a non-coding RNA of Podarcis lilfordi (Lilford's wall lizard), 25080 nucleotides long. The record is from the annotation of a GenBank genome assembly. NCBI's taxonomy places the organism in Eukaryota, Metazoa, Chordata, Lepidosauria, Squamata, Lacertidae.
CGCCGGAGCACGAUUUCUGUUCUCAUCCUGAAGCAAAGUUCUUAACCUGAAGCACUAUAUCUUGGUUCGCGGAGUCUGUAACCUGAAGCGUAUGUAACCCGAGGUACCACUGUAUUGGCUAUGCUUUCCUUUUCAUUGUCACUUGUCCACAAUCCGUGUGCUUUCCUGGAUACCACCUGUUUCAUUGAAUUACAGGUGCGUCGCUUUAGAAUUACUUCUGAAAGAGCAAAAAAGAAUCAGAGUGUUGAACUUCUACGUUUAAGUUUACACUAAGGACAUAGGAAUAAGGAAGCAGUUCAGUCAAUACUGGAAAUAUAGAAUUGUACUAUUUGGCUAUGGAAAACCUGGCAACCUAAGAUUGCACCUAUUAUUUUUCUAUUAUUCCCAAUAUCACAUCACCCAGAUUCCUCCCCUCCCCCAGCAAGGGAGAGAUAAGCAAUUUGAACCCUGGGGAUCCAAAGGUUUAUGCACAUUACGAGAUUUCUAUACCAACAAUCAACCUGUAUCUAUUAACCGUGUACCAUAUUUUUCCGUAUAUAACACGCCCCCAUGGAUAAGACGCCCUCUAUUUUUGGGGAUUCAAACUUAAGAAAAUGGAGGGAAAUUGCCCAGAGCUGUUGAGCUUUUUUCCACUUACAGUCUCUGGGGAGCAGAAACAAACAAGCCCACAUCACCAAUAUGCACUGACAAUGUAUAAGAUCCGCCCCCCCCCCAUUUUAAAAAUUACUUUUCUGGCACAAAAACCUUGUCUAAUACACAGAAAAGUAUGGUAAAUUUAACUUUGUCAAAUCUUAAUACUAACUGGAUUUAUUUUAAUCAAAUGAAGCUCUGAGACCCUUAACACAAUUUGAAACGUUCUAGAAGCACAAUGAGUAGGGAAAGGGAGGAAUAGUUUCUAAAACAGACUCUGUGUUGCUUAAUGUAACUUACAGAUCUAUGGAACCUCUUAAAAACAUGGUAACUGGAUACUAGCACACAAAUUCUUCCCAAGGAUUGGAAUAAAAUUUGGGGAUCGUGACCCUUAAAAUCUCUUUUGGAACGGACUUCCGGAACUGAUACUGCUUGACUUCCAAGGUACGACUGUAUAGUCUUCAUGGGAAAACCGCAUGUUAAACCUUCUGCAAUAUACCUUUCGCCAUUUUUCAUUUCUGUGUCAAUUAAACCCUUUAUACUUAACACUGUUGAUCUCCAUGACCCAUCUGCCGCUGAGGGGAGACAAGGCCCACAGCAAAUACUACAGUACUGUAUAGUAUGGGUACUUAGGCAAAGUCUGCUUAGGGCAGGGUUCAGCAACGUUUUUCAGCUGUAGGCCGAGCCACUGUCCCUCAGACCUUGUGGUGGGCCAGACUAUAUUUUGAAAAAAAAUAUGAACGAAUUCCUAUGCCCCACAAAUAACCCAGAGAUGCAUUUUAAAUAAAAGCACACAUUCUACUCAUGUAAAAACACGCUGAUUCCCAGACCGUCUGCGGGCCAGAUUGAGAAGGCAAUUGGGCUGGAUCUGGCCCCCGGGCCUUAGUUUGCUUACCCCUGGCGUAGGGGAACUGUUUGCCACCUUACAAGCACAUUCUGUACAAAGGCCAAAAUGGAUGCCAUUUACUCCAGGUUCAUGCCUAUCUCACCUCCCUCCCUCCAGUUACUAAAUCUCUCUAAUAGGUCUGGUAUACCAGUUUAGGAAAUCCUACCAAAUUGGCUUUUGGGUCUGGCGCUAGACCAAAUGCUUGGAGUGUGUCCCACUAAAAAGACGGCCAUCCUUUGUUCCCUAUAAUGUCUCAGAUUGCGCCUUUUCAAGCCCCGCUUUAACCCCCCCAAAUAUUGUACGUUUUUCACAUGCUACGCACUGAGCAAUCAAACCUUUAUUACUCAUUUAAUUUGGAAGCAAUUACUUGCUGCCUGGAUUUAUCUCACACACUUUUCAAAUCUCAAAGCUCUUUUAACAGUCGGUAUUUAAUGAGCAUAUGGCAAAUGUCCUCGUGAUUCCAAAUGUAAUACCUCCCUUUUAAUGAAGGGGGGAAUUAGAGCGAUGUUUCACAAUUCCCAGUUAUUUGGGUUGUUAGACGCUCCAGAGGUAUCAGCAUUAAGGCCCUGAGACUUCAUGAGGAGGUCGACGUGUUGACAUGGAAGUGGGAUGAUGUAGACUGUAAAUUGAACAUGUAAAAUAAAAGAGGCAGCCUAUUUAAUGAGAGGUGGGGAAAGCAGUCUCAAACAAAUAUAAAAGGCAGCACCAUGAACAAAUCAACCUAACAGGGUUAAUGUUUCCCCUGUAUAUUUAAAGUUCCUUCUCCUACCAACCAAGCCAGCUAGUAAUCCUCUCAAGCCCUUAUUCAAUCUCCCACGUUGUAUUUCUGCUACUGCUGAAUGUUACUGUAGUAUGAGGCUGAUUAUUUUGUGAAUAGGUGGGAUAAUUGGAAAUUCUUAUGCCUUUGGAGACAGAAAUCCAGGACUAGCCUGAAACUAAUAAGGGACAUGUGCAGACCAGGCGCUUUUUCCCUCUUGUUUGGCAAAAAAUUAUUUCAUUUACAAAUCCAUCUAACAUAGAUCCAUACUCAUGGGUAGCUCUGUAGAUACAAACUGUAGAUAACAAAUGCCUGUCAGUGAUCACUUUCUGUAGUUAUGCUGCUCCUGCAGGCCAAUCAGGUCCCUGAUUCACUUCCACCUGGAGUUGGAUUGGGUGGCUCCUGCGGACCAAUCAGACUGCUGCAUUCUGGACCCUAUUGAUCUAGGAUUCAGCUCAGUACAUAACAGGGGAGCACUCAGGAGAGGAAAACCUCCUCUCCUUCCUUCACCAAGAGCAGGCAGUUCAAUUCUGUAGGGUGCUCUUCACAAGUGGCUUCUCUGCAGGAAAGCCACUUUCAAAGCUGUGCCUGCAUCCUGCUGGAGCAAUGCCCUCCACUCUCUGAUCCUGCAGGAUGAGGGGGUCAGGUGGAAGAUGCAACUACUCGUCUGGUAGGUCUUGGCCUUUGUGCAAGGCUUCACACCUGACUCCUGCUUCCCCUUCCUGCUUGAGGCCCUGCCCCAACCACCACAGAUUGCUUUGAGCCAUCAAACCUGAACCGUAGUGAUCCGUGGCUGUCUCACCUUGAUUGAUGCCCAAUUUACUCCAAAUAAGCCCAAGCUGGCCCAGGACUCGGAUGAAUCUGGUGCACAGCCCUAGUAAGAGAACACCACUUGGCUCAGGAACUCUCCUGCAAUAUUCAGAGAAGUGCAAAAGAUGGCUGCAUUUCGGUUCUGCCAAAUGAACUAGAUUUGCCUAUGAAUGUCAACAGAAUCAAAGCUCUCCAGCAUCCCUACCUGCCAGCAGCACCGAGUCUGCAUGCAGAUGUCACCUGGGCUUUGCAGCUCCAGAACAAAAGGACUGGACUGUGCCCAAAAUGGUCACCAUGGAAGCCCAGUUCUACACACCGAAUAAAUCCUGUAAAUAUAAACGCCUACCUUGUUCUAGCUGCAACACAAUAUUGUUAUGUUAUGCCAGUUUUUUUAUAUAUGUGUGUAUAUAUGUAUAUGUAUAUGUAUAUGUAUAUGUGUGUAUAUAUAUAGUGUAUAUUUAUAGACUAUAUUUAUACACACACACACACACACACACACACACACACACACACACACACACUGCUUCUUAUCUCUGCCCCUUUUGAUAACUCUCAUGCUGAUGAAAUCACAGGAGUCUAGAAAAAUAAAUGAUUUCCUUUUACGCCUUCUUAGGCUGAAAUCCUUUGCAUACAUCCCUGGGAGGAAGCCCAGUCAGAUACAAUGGGACUUGCUUCUGAGUAAACAUUGCUUAGGAUUGUGCUUCAAACAUUCUCUGUACAGAUGACAGAUAAUGAAUGACACAAACAAAUUGCUUAAUGGAAAAGGAGUGGUGUUUAUCGCUCUGCAGAGGAAACAUAUCAGGAUGCCAAAGGGAUUGAUUUUUAUCUUAAGGCAUUAAUGACUUAAUGCAAAGGCAUUUCCUGAUUAUGGAAAAGGGGCUUGAGUAAAUGAAGACAAUGUUUAUUUUUCUUGGUGAUUAAGAAUUUAAACGCUGCCACUUUAAGAAUCAAAUUCUCCUUUUUUAAGCUCUCACUCCAAGCAUUUGAAACACCUUGGUCCGCUGUGCUUGGCCCACCCACCAAACAAAGGCCAUGAUUGGCUGGUUCAGAUAAGGAUUUUUGACGGGCAAUUCCACAAGACUGGCUGAGGUAGAUUCCAGUGGCCAGCUGCAAGAGAAAAUUGUUUUCUCUGUGCCCAGGGGGAGCUGCAUCCGGCCACAGCUGCUACCCAUCCAGAAUUCGGGUGAGGUCCCCUUAUUUUCUGCCACAUCAUCAAUAACACCAUCCUUUUCAAAUAGUAGAAGGUGAUGUCCUCUCCCCCUCUUUUGCAGAAAUAAUUCCCGCUACCACCUUAAAUAAUCAAUCACCCACCCAACCAAAUAAUUUCCACAAGCAAAGAUGAUGUCUGACAUUUCCAAGCUCAGCUUUGAAUUCUUAGUGGUGAAUAUAGUUUAUCACAUAUGCUUUUCUUAUACAAAAGGGGAAUUGUCUCUUCCGCAAGUCCUUCAACAAAUUUGGGAUAAGUAACAUCUAACCAAGGGACGCGGGUGGCACUGUGGGUUAAACCACAGAGCCUAGGACUUGCCAAUCAGAAGGUCGGCGGUUCGAAUCCCUGCGACGGGGUGAGCUCCCGUUGCUCGGUCCCUGCUCCUGCCAACCUAGCAGUUCGAAAGCACGUCAAAGUGCAAGUAGAUAAGUAGUUACCUCUCCGGCGGAAAGGUAAACGGCGAUUCCAUGCGCUGCUCUGGUUCGCCAGAAGCGGCUUAGUCAUGCUGGCCACAUGUAGGCCGGCUCCCUUGGCCAAUAAAGCGAGAUGAGCGCCGCAACCCUAGAGUCGGUCACGACUGGACCUAAUGGUCAGGGGUCCCUUUACCUUUUUUAACAUCUAACCGGUUCAACAUUUCACUUGAUGUAAAAUAAAGCCUUUCUGUUCUUGGUACUCUUUGUGCUUCUGAUGGUUCAGUCAAGGCUUAUGUUUCUGUAUACAGUGGUACCUCUGGUUACAUACUUAAUUUGUUCCGGAGGUCCGUUCUUAACCUGAAACUGUUCAUAACCUAAAGCACCACUUUAGCUAAUGGGGCCUUCUGCUGCCGCUGCUCGCUGGAGCACAAUUUCUGUUCUCAUCCUGAAGCAAAGUUCUUAACCCGAGGUAAUAUUUCUGGGUUAGCGGAGUCUGUAACCUGAAGUGUAUGUAACCUAAAGCAUAUGUAACCUGAGGUACCACUGUAUCUUGCAAGCCAUGGGCCUCUUCUUCUCUCAUUCCUUAUGAUGGUACUUUCCAAUUACCUUUCUGCAUCUCAUUAUAAAUAUCCGGCUUUAUUAUUUUUUCUUCUGAAUGUAACAUCUCAUGCCAGCCUUGGUUGGGUUUAGUUUUUAUUUGUUUGUCUCAUGAGGUUCUAUUUUGUCCUUUGGGUUAUAUGGAUAAAAUUCAAUAAAAAUAGAUUAAAAAACCCUUAUACUCUUCUUAAAAGGUAAAGGUACCCCUGCCCGUACGGGCCAGUCGUGUCCGACUCUGGGGUUGCGCGCCCAUCUUGCUUAAGAGGCCGGGGGCCAGCGCUGUCCGGAGACACUUCCGGGUCAGGUGGCCAGCGUGACGAAGCUGCUCUGGCGAGCCUGCACCAGCGCAGCACACGGAAACGCCGUUUACCUAUAAAGCGGUACCUAUUUAUCUACUUGCACUUAAGGGUGCUUUCGAACUGCUAGGUGGGCAGGAGCUGGGACCGAACGAUGGGAGCUCACCCCACCGCGGGGAUUCGAACUGCCGACCAUGUGAUUGGCAAGUCCUAGGCGCUGAGGUUUUACCCACAGCGCCACCCGCGUCCCUAUACUCUUCUUACAGGACCUAAAAUGCAAAUGUUGCAGAACAGGAGGUUCAUGUUGCAAAUUCUCCAAAACAUAAUGAAAAAUUGAUUUCUUUUUCCGAAAGGACAUAAAAAGCAGAUGCUACCAAACUUAAAAUAUUAUUGACCUUUCAAAUGUUUUUUUAAAAAAAGAGAAACAUAUACUGAAAUUACAACAACAACAAAUUAAAUUUGUAUGCCACCCUUCAUCUCUGUAGAUCUCAAGUACAUAACAUAAAAAUACAAGAUAAAAACACAAAAUACAUAAUAAAAACAAGAACCAAAAGAAAACCACAAACUAAUACCCCCCUCCCAACCUCGUCCCGCUGGAAUGUGUCUAUAAAAGAAAUAGCUGUCUGGCAGUAGCUUAUUUUCCUCUCCACCCCAGUAACCUGUAAAGAUAUUUAUCCUUUUUAAUAUGAAGUUUUUCAGUCACUUGAAAGACUUCCACAUACUGCUACAGUGGCAUUACCCAUUUUUAAUUUUUUGAUUCAUUCCUCAUUCAGAGGUAUGGCUCCCAAGUAAAUUUUUGUAUCACUGAUUGGACAACUGCAUUUUGUAGUAUAGAGUUCCAUCCCUUAAUCUCCAGUUAAACAGAACUGAACAAAAUAAUAAUAAUGAUCCCAGUCUGUGUCAUUAAGAAAUGCCAUCAGCUAUUAACCUCAGAAUUCUCCUCAAUUUACAUGAGGAUUAAACUUGAGUCCUCCAUUUUUAACCCAGACUUCCUAAGCAGGGGCAAAAAUAAUAAUAAAAAUCUGACACCAACAUAUUUGUUUUACUCUAUAUCCUGAGAAAUCAGAUGGCUGCUUUGCAAAACUAUGCAAAAAAAGGUAAUCUGUUUCUUGCCAGAUGGGAUCCCUCCACUGCGUCUUUCCAUAGCCUCAUUAGGCAAAGCUCUAUAUUAUAGGUUAAUCUUGCACUCUAAUGGAGCACUGUGUGAAAUUAUAAGCAUAAAGCAGAUAAGUAUUUUGAGUAUCCUCACUUUAUUUUAUGCAAUGAUAAGAACUAACCACUAUUUACACAUACUUUAUAGAUAGUGGUUUCCUAGUCUGCGUUUCUAUUUUACACUUUUGGAAGUAAGCAGGAAGACAAGCAUGCAGUUCUGUGACAUUGUGACCCCUUACUAGAUUGCUUCACCUGGUCAGGAGAAGACACCAAUAUGAGGGAUGGGAACAAGGCAACUGAGAAAUUGGAGGCUUUGUUGUGUGACAAAACUGUGCUAUGCCACUGAAAUGGAAAAAGAACAAAAUGUGAGUCUCCUCACCCUUUUAAAGUCUAUUGUGUAGAUGCGGAGAGAGCACAUCCAUCUGUUAUCUGUUUUCACAUUCUUUUAUUUAUGAAACCAAAUCAGCCAGUGAAUUUAUAUAGAAAUGGAGGAACCAAGUCAAAAUGGAAUCCCAACCAACUAUUGUUACCUGUCUGAUGACUUUCCGACACUAUGCAGAGAUGAUUCCCCUCCUCUCCUAUGCAUAUAUAAGGACUCAUGGCAACCUAAAAAUAGCUCACCAACUUUGCCCAAAAAAGCUCACCAACUGUCUGGAUUUUCACUGUUUGAAAUAUGGCAACCCUACCCUGAUAUGUGUUGUCUGUGUCCUCUUAUCUACUUGCUUGUUUCCUAUUUUGAAUUUUUAUUGUUUUAUUCUUAUUAGAUUGUAAGCAGCUUUGAGCCUUAAAAAAAAAUGAAAAAGCUGGCUAGAAAGACUUUAAAAAAAUAAUAAUUUGACGAGUUCAUAAAAACCUGCAAAACAUGGUGCUUAAAUAUCUUGUUUCCUUGUCUUAUACCUUGGAGUUUACCCUUUGCCCAAAUAUGAAUGGGUGGGUUUUGUUCCUUGAUGGUCUAUUUGUCAUUAAGAAGUGUGGAACCUACAACCAAGUGUUGUGCUAUAUAACCUUUAUCCUAGUAGCAGGGCUCAGGGUUCCUGCCAGUAAGCAAGCAAAAUAAAAAAUAAAAAUAAAAAAGUAGAUCAUGAGAAAGUGGUGGGACAGUUGCGGUUACAGUUUAUUUUACAGUUGAAAGUAGCGUUUAGACCGGCAAACACAGGUAAAUAAUAUUGUAAGCAUUGCAGUGAUUUGGGUUUGCAGUGAUUUGUAAUUUUCUUUUUUUAAUGUCAAAUAUAUUUAUUAUCUUUCUUCCAAGAGCAGCACAUGUUUCACACAGGAUGAAAAUCUAAGGCUUAUGCAAAUCCUUAGCCCUCAACAUUGAAAAAUAUAUAUGCUUAUAUAUGAAGAAUACAAAUGCUGUAAUAAAUUAAGCCUUGAUGCAACAACAUGAGUUAACAAAAACUCCAAAAAUCCUCAACAGUUGAUCCUGAAACAUUUGUUUUUUUGUGCAUCUGUAUACACAAAGUGAUUUUCAUUGUAGUUUUCAUUUUUAAAUUACCUAACAUAGCUAGUUAAACUAAAAAGAAGAAAGGCAGAAAAGAAAGUACAGAGCAAAAAUCAUAUACACCAAACUGUGUUGUAAACCUCAGGAUCUAUUUUGCCAUAUGUUUUACUAUCUGUUGGCACUCACUACCGGAGUUCGCGAACAGAGGGACUGAUGUCGAUGUAUCUCACCAAGAUGAAACAUUCAUUCAUAGGGAAAGCUUCACGAAGCAGCUAAGAGAUCACAUGAAGGAUGACGCUUGGUUUUAGCACAAAUUGAAACCUUCCAUUUAAAGAUGGAAAGCAAAACCUGCACCUGACAGCAAGACACCCACAGAUUGUCAUGUUGAUAAAAUACUUGCUUUCAGAAUGUGCCAAGGCACUAAGUAAUUAAUGAAGAAAAAGACAUUGUCGUUCAGGGCAAAGUACAUGGGAAAGCACAUACUGUUGAGAUGUAUGACACUUGCUCUUGAUAGUAUUUUUCAACUAACCAGAAUAAAACUUAGGGAGACAAAUAAUGUGGCCAUCUCAUACCCCUCAACUAUCCCAGUAAAACCGGGACUUCCUGUUUUUUCUCAUGAGAGCAUGGUCCUCACCACUAUCAUGAUCUCACACAAUCUUAAGCUUAAACCAUCCUAAUUGGCUAUCUCUACACAUACUUUACAUUAUUAUUAUUAUUAUUAUUAUUAUUAUUAUUAUUAUUCUGCCCGGCGGUUCAUAUAAAAAGAUAGCAGUAUUUAAAAUUAAAAUAAAAGCAAUAACCCAAUAAUACACCCCCUCCAAAAAAGAGCCACAUUUUAAAAGGGUAUGGGAAGUUGAUCAGGUCAACCAAAGGCCUGGUUAAAAAGGAAUGUUUUUGCCUGGCACCUAAAGGUGUAUAAUGAAGGUGUCAGGCGAACUUCCCUGGGGAGAGCAUUCCACAGACGGGAGGCCACUGCAGAGAAGGCCCGUUCUCGUGUUGCCCCCCCUCCAGACCUCAUGAGGAGGAGGCACACAAAGAAGGGCCUCAGAAGAUGAUCUCAGGGUCUGGGUAGGUUCAUACAGAUAGAGGCGGCCCUUGAGGUAUUGCAGUCCUGAGCCGGUUAAGGCUUUAUAGAUCAAAACCAGCACUUUGAAUUGGGCCCAGAAUCGCUCCUGUGUCCUGCACAAUGCCAUAGCAACAGAUAUAUGUAAGCAAAGUUAUAAAUUUGUACCAUAGAGAAUGUUUCAUUUCCCUGUCAGAAGAAUGUCUGAGUCCAGUUUAAUUAUUGUUCUCCUGGCUUUAAUGCCACCCUCCCAGUCUUCUGCUGAAGGCCAGCGAGAGGCUCGUGAUGGGUAUUAUGCUAGCAAAAAGACAGAAAUGCAUCUUUUAUUCACUAAUUGGGGAUGCAGGAAGAAUUAGCAAGCUGUCGGGGCUUCAGACUAGUUGACCUUGUUCUUUCAAUGUCUUGCAAUAUUAGAGUCAUUUUGCAAAGCAAGCAAGCUUCUUAUACUGUAUGAGGAGAAAAGCAUAAAGUAAGAAGCAUGUAGAAACAGGGAGAAAUUGGGGUCACAAGUCCAUUCAUUGGAAAAGUACAAUUACGUCAUAACUUAAAGCAGAGUGGGGUGCAGAGUAUAGCUCUGUUGGAUCUACUUUGUAUUUUACUAGAACCCCAAGUUCUGGUCAUCAGAGCCAGAUUUAAAAAGACAUGUCCUUUCAAUGAAAGCAUAAGAUGCCUCUGAGCACAUUCUGAGCCUAAGAAUUUAUUUUCAGCCGAAUUCAUGGUCCUUGCACACAAAGGUCCACUCCUGGUAUUAGCUCUCCUUUCCUUACAGCUGUCUAAUUUAGGUGGGGAAAGAUGGUUUGCAGUUGCUAUGGUUAAACAACUGGGAAUCAGAAAUACUUGCUGAUCUACUGCUAAUCACUCUGAGAUCUACCAGUAGAUCUACCUUCUUCCUAGCCAUAGCUUAAAUGUUCUUUUAGGAAGAAAAUUGGGCCCUCCCAGGUAGCUUUCAUAGAAUAGAAUCAUAGAAUCAUAGAGCUGGAAGAGACCACAAGGGCCAUCGAGUCCAACCCCCUGCCAAGCAGGAAACACCAUCAGAGCACCCCUGACAUAUGGUUGUCAAGUCUCUGCUUAAAGACCUCCAAAGAAGGAGACUCCACCACACUCCUUGGCAGCAAAUUCCACUGUCGAACAGCUCUUACUGUCAGGAAGUUCUUCCUAAUGUUUAGGUGGAAUCUUCUUUCUUGUAGUUUGGAUCCAUUGCUCCGUGUCCGCUUCUCUGGAGCAGCAGAAAACAACCUUUCUCCCUCCUCUAUGUGACAUCCUUUUAUAUAUUUGAACAUGGCUAUCAUAUCACCCCUUAACCUCCUCUUCUCCAGGCUAAACAUGCCCAGCUCCCUUAGCCGUUCCUCAUAAGGCAUCGUUUCCAGGCCUUUGACCAUUUUGGUUGCCCUCCUCUGGACACGUUCCAGUUUGUCAGUGUCCUUCUUGAACUGUGGUGCCCAGAACUGGACACAGUACUCCAGGUGAGGUCUGACCAGAGCAGAAUACAGUGGCACUAUUACUUCCCUUGAUCUAGAUGCUAUACUCCUAUUGAUGCAGCCCAGAAUUGCAUUGGCUUUUUUAGCUGCCGUGUCACACUGUUGGCUCAUGUCAAGUUUGUUGUCAACCAAGACUCCUAGAUCCUUUUCACAUGUACUGCUCUCAAGCCAGGUGUCCCCAUCUUGUAUUUGUGCCUCUCAUUUUUUUUGCCCAAGUGCAAUACUUUACAUUUCUCCCUGUUAAAAUUCAUCUUGUUUGUUUUGGCCCAGUUCUCUAAUCUGUCAAGGUCGUUUUGAAGUGUGAUCCUGUCCUCUGGGGUGUUAGCCACCCCUCCCAGUUUGGUGUCAUCUGCAAAUUUGAUCAGGAUGCCCUUGAGUCCAUCAUCCAAGUCGUUGAUAAAGAUGUUGAAUAAGACCGGGCCCAAGACAGAACCCUGUGGCACCCCACUAGUCACUCUUCUCCAGGAUGAAGAGGAACCAUUGAUGAGCACCCUUUGGGUUCGGUCAGUCAGCCAGUUACAAAUGCACUGAGUGGUAGCAUAGUCAAGACCGCAUUUUACCAGCUUCUUUACAAGAAUAUCAUGGGGACCUUGUCAAAUGCCUUGCUGAAAUCAAGGUAGGCUACAUCCACUGCAUUCCCUUCAUCUACCAGGCUUGUAAUUCUGUCAAAAAACGAGAUCAGGUUAGUUUGACAUGACUUAUUUUUCAGAAAUCCAUGCUGACUAUUGGUGAUCACAGCAUUCCUUUCUAGGUGCUCACAGACUGUUUGCUUAAUGAUCUGCUGCAGAAUCUUCCCUGGUAUUGAUGUCAGACUGACUGGGCGGUAAUUAUUUGGGUCCUCUCUUUUCCCCUUUUUGAAAAUAGGGACAACAUUUGCCCUCCUCCAGUCUGCCGGGACUUCGCCUGUUCUCCAGGAAUUCUCAAAGAUGACUGCCAGUGGUUCUGAGACCACAUCUGCCAGUUCUUUUAAUACUCUUGGAUGCAGUUCAUCUGGCCCUGGAGACUUGAAUACAUCUAAACUAGCCAAGUAUUCUUGUACUAUCUCCUUAGUUAUUCUGGGCUGUGUUUCCUCUGCUGAAUCAUUUGCUCCAAAUUCUUCAGGUCGGGCAUUGUUUUCUUUAUCGGAGAAGACUGAGGCAAAGAAGGCAUUGAGGAGUUCAGCCCUUUCUGUGUCCCCUGUUUGCAUUUCACCAUCUUCUCCUCUGAGUGACCCCACUGUUUCUUUGUUCUUCCUUUUGCUACUGAACAUACCCAUAAAAGCCUUUUUGUUGCUUUUAACUUCUCUAGCAAGCCUGAGUUCAUUCUGUGCUUUAGCUUUUCUGACUUUGUGUCUACACGUGCUGGCUAUUUGUUUGAAUUCCUCUUUGGUGGUUUCCCUUUUUCCAUUUUUGUACACAUCCUUUUUUAAUCUUAACUCAGUUAAAAGUUCUUUAGAUAGCCACCCUGGCUUCUUUAGGCACCUUCCAUGUUUCCGUCUCAUUGGUAUUGCCUGAAGUUGUGCUUUUACUAUCUCCCUCUUAACGAACUCCCACCCAUCAUGAACUCCCUUUCCUUUUAGUAUUACUGUCCAUGGGAUCUCACCCAGCACUUCCCUAAGUUUUAUGAAGUCGGCUUUCUUAAAGUCAAGAAAUUGAGUCCUAGUAUGCUUGGCUGCUCCUUUCCGCUGUAUAGUAAACUUCAGAAGAGCAUGAUCACUCGCGCCUAAUGAUCCUUAGACUUCUAUCCCACUAACCAGGUCAUCAACAUUGGUUAGGACCAGAUCUAAAAUGGCUGUUCCUCUUGUUGCUUCUCCCACUUUCUGGACAAUGAAGUUGUCUGCAAGGCCAGUGAGGAAUCUGUUUGACCUUAUGCUCUUGGCUGAGUUUGACAUCCAACAAAUAUCCGGGUAAUUGAAAUCCCCCAUUACUACUAUCUCCCUUCCUUUUGCAUGCUUGGCCAUCUGUUCCAGGAAGGCAUCAUCUAUGUCCUCCGUUUGGCUUGGGGAUCUAUAGUAAACUCCCACAAUGAGGUCACUGUUCUUCUUCUCUCCUUAAUUUUGACCCAAAUGCUCUCACUUUGGCUUUGAGGUUCUAAAUCUUGGAUCUCUUCACAGGUAUACACAUCCCUGACAUAUAACGCCACUCCUCCUCCUUUCUUGUCUGGUCUGUUUCUCUGAAAUAGAUUGUAUCCCUCCAUUAUGACAUUCCAAUCGUGGGACUUAUCCCACCAGGUUUCAGUGAUGCCUAUUAUGUCAUAUUUAGUUUGCUGUACCAAGAGCUCAAGCUCAUCUUGUUUAUUUCCCAUGCUUUGCGCAUUAGUGUACAGACAUUGAAGUCCAUUAAUCACUUAAUCCUUCCACUUCAGAGUGCCUCUCUGUUUAGCUAGCUGUAGUACUGAGAGAAAUACCAACUAGAAAAGGUCCUUAGGGUUAGAGAUUCUUCAGAAAUAGUCAGUGUGUCCCAGACAGGGAUUUUCUCCUGCCGAAACUUAGUUCUAGCACCAGGUGACCACAAACCUAGACCAGGGCCAGUGGCAAGUGGAAGAAGGAGGGGAGGAGGAGGCAGAAGAGAGAAGCCCAGACUGGUGCAGGUUCAUUGGGGCCUGCAACUGAAUAGACAAAGCAAGGGUGUCAAUAACUCACCUAGCGGACAUUUCUGUCUUUCUCCACACCCUUCUGACAAGCUUCCAGGUGUCAAAAGGGCUUGUGCUGUAGUAGAGUGUCGGAGAUCAUCUUUGGCCAGAGCAAAUACCUUAAGGGCAUCUCAAGAGCAACUUUAAAAACACUGGGGCUGGUACAGUGCCAGUGAUGAUAUAUGGACAAUUUAUACAAAUGGGAAAGUCCAAGGAGCUCAUUAAGUGCAAGUGAUCAUUCAGGUGGUCAUUCAGUGAAUAGUGAAAGCCUGCUUCAGUUUGAGUUUUAAAAGGGGAAAUUGAGCUCUCACCACCACCACCACCACCAAAAUAAAAUAUACAAAAUACAAAUUGCUUGGGUAACAAUAUGUUGUUGUAGCUGACACUUUUGAAAUAACGGUGGUACAAAGAAAUAGCGGAAAUUCUUAGUUAGAAAAGAACAGUUUAGCUUAGUUGCGUGGGAGGUAUAACAUCUGAUGGGUUUUAAGAUGCUGCAUCUAUUCUUAUACUCUGACUUGUUACUCAGUUAGUAACAAGUGUGCUAAUAUUAUGAUACCAAAGAGUCCUGUGACAAACAGUGAGUUGUGGCAUAAGGCUCCACAGAUUACAAUCCCCUCCAUUGGAUUCAUGAAGUAUUAUCCUGAGUUGAAAGUUACUGUCAGGGAACUGCCAUCGGAAGGAAGGGAGGUGAAAGGGCUCACACAGGUUGGGAGAGACUCAGCAGCUGAAGAGGGAACCAGUAGGGGGAGAGGAGCUGAGCUGAGGGAAAGUGAGCUGGAGGGAUGGCUCAGAGACACUUCCAGCGAAAACAGUGGGGAGGUUUCAGGACCUCCUGUAGGAACACCCACUCCUCGCCGGAAACUGUCACGCAGAGAGUCCAGAAGACGUGUUUCCGUUAAGGAGCUUUUAUGUUGGAAGCGAUUCCAAAGCAACCACUGUCGGAAUCUGCUAGUGACUAGAGGAGCCAUGUCUGAGGGGCUCCGUCACAGACAGAGGUUUGUGGACUUGAACAAACUCUGAGGGGAUACUAUUUUACGCACAAGCAGCUCAUCAUCCCAUCACAGCAUUCCGACAGUCUUUGAAAGCAGCUUGUGCAGGAGAAGGCAUCAUGAGCAACCCAGCCGGAACCGGAGAAGCAGGAGCUGGAGCGGGUCCAAGCCUGGAAGAAAGGUACCGGGUGUUGGAGGUCCAGCUAGCGCUGCAGACGGCGAGGCUUGAGGAGAGGAGGGCUCAGGAUGCAGACAAAAGGGGAAAGCCACCCAGCUCGCCAGAAAGGUACCAGGAUUGGUGCAGAAGUUUGGGGGGGAGCCCAAAGACUAUCAUGGCUUUCGGACAGAGAUGCAAUAUGCCCUCAAUCUGCAGUUUGAUGAAUUCCCUGACGAGGAAUCACGAGUGGCUUUCGUGAUUGGGCAUCUUGAAAAGGGGGCGAGAGACUGGGUUAGACCCCUGAUGGCAGCGAAUAGUGACGUCCUAAAGGACACGAUGAAGUUCUUUCGCGCCAUGGAUCUGAUGUUUUCCAGCGAUAUUGAACAGGGAGUGGUGCGCAGACAGUUAAUGGCUUGCAAACAGGGGAGCCGAUCUGUCCGUGAGUACUGGACUGAGUUCACCAUGCUGGUUCACAGAUUGGGGUGGGACUUAUCGGCGGAACCCAUUCAAAUGCUCUUUGAAGAAGGGCUUUCUUCGGCUGUGAAAGACGAACUUUCCCGGGCGCCCAGCUGACCAAAUCAGCGCUGACCAUAGGAGCGCGCCAGGAGGCGAGAGCAUUGGAGAGGCGGGAAGGGAAGGGGGAACGUUGGAAGGAGUUCCGCAUUCCAGACAUUCCAGAGCCAACUUUCCCGCCGGCAGAGCCGAUGGAAAUCGGAACAGCGCGCGCGCGCAGUUUCAAAGCCCAGUGAGGGGGAAAGAAGGAGGGAAAACGCGCCCGGAAAUGCUAUCUCUGCCAACAGCCAGGUCACUUUGCCAGAGUCUGCCCCCAGAGGAAGGAAUGGCAAGGGAUGGUAGGAGCUGUGGAGGGAAGAGAGGAAGAAAUACCGGAGCAAGUAAAAGCCAACGCCUGGCUGCCACCGUCGGGGCACAGCAGCCAGGCCAAAGAGCAGUGAGAGUGCCCACGCCAGAACCUCCUAAACCCGCCCUAGUGAUAGAAGUGGCGCUAGAGCUGCCAAACGGACACCCUCUAAAGAUAAAGGCGCUGUUGGACUCAGGCAGCUCCUGCAAUUUCAUGAGCAAAGAGUUUGCAGCUGAACACCAGAUACAGACGAUCCUUUAAGCAACCCCUGCAGGUGACCACGAUCGAUGGCAGGGAGCUGUUGGGAGGAGAAGUCAGCUUGCAGACCGUCCCAAUGAUAAUGAAGGUGGCAAGGCACACCGAACUGAUAGCGUUUAAUGUGGCCACCUUGGGAGGAGCUCCCAUUAUAUUGGGGAUGAGCUGGCUAGCGUUACAUGAUCCGCUGGUGGGCUGGCAUCAGAGAGUGGUUUCUUUUGGUUCAGCACAUUGCUUAGAACACUGCAAAGAGGGAAAGGGUUUGGCAGGGGCCCAAGCCACCCUAGCAGGGACUGAAGUAACGGAGAACGUGAAGGUACCACGACAAUACGCAGAUCUCCGCGACGUCUUCAGCGAAAGGGAAGCUGACCAACUACCCCCGCAUAGACCCUUUGACUGUCAAAUCAAUUUACUCCCUGGGGCACAGCUCCCUGUAGGCAAGCUGUACGCCAUGUCAGACAGAGAGAUGCAGGAGCUAAGAGAGUUCAUUGACAAGAACCUGAAGAGAGGGUUCAUCAGAGAGUCCAGGGCGGUGGGGGCAGCCCAGUGUUUUUGUGGAUAAAAAACACGAACAAGCCGAGGCUGGUGUGUGACUUCAGGGCCUUAAAUGCAGUGUCAGAACCAGUGGCCUUCCCUAUGCCCAGGAUUGACGACAUUUUGACAAGGGUGCGGAAGGGAAAGAUUUUCACAAAGCUGGACCUAAGGGGGGCGUACAACCUGAUACGAAUAAGGAAGGGGGAUGAAUGGAAAACCACCAUGUUCACCCCUUUAGGGGCAUUUGAAUAUUUGGUUAUGCCCUUCGGCCUACAAGCAGGCUCCGCAUGCUUUCAAUCGUUUAUGAACCACGUCCUGGGGCCUUUGCUUUACAAGAAUUGUGUGGCCUUCUUAGACGACGUGUUGGUGUAUUCUGAGAAUGAGGAGCAGCAUGUGAGAGACGUCAGAGAAGUGUUGAGCAGGCUGCAAGCCAACCAGCUGUGGGUGAAACUGGAGAAGUGUCAGUUUCAUACCAAGGAGGUGGAAUUCCUGGGGUAUCGCCUGUCAGACAAGGGAUUGGCCAUGGAUCCCGGCAAGGUCCAGGCGGUGCUGGAAUGGAAAACACCCAAAACAAGGAAGGACGUGCAGAGGUUCCUAGGAUUUGGGAACUUCUAUCGUAAGUUCAUCCGAAACUUUGCCCACCUGACGGCGCCCAUUACGGACUGUCUCAGCAGUAAGAAGAAGUUCGUUUGGACUGAGGAGGCGGAGUGAGCAUUUGAGGAACUAAAAAGGGCCUUCGCCUCGGAACAACAACUCCUGCAUGUGGAUUUACAAAAACCGAUGAGAGUGGAAACUGACGCAUCAGACAGAGCGAUUGGGGCGGUGCUUCUGCAGCCAGGGAAGGAGGAGUCAGAGUGGAGACCGUGUGCUUUUUUCGCGAAAGCUGAACAAAUCCGAGAGGAACUACACGGUGUAUGACCGAGAACUACUAGCCAUUCAUGAGGCGUUCCGGAGAUGGAGGCACCUGCUAAUUGGCGCACAACAUAAGGUGCAAGUGUGCACUGACCACAAGAACCUAGAGUAUUGGAGGACGGCACGAGUGCUCAACCAACGGCAAGUGAGAUGGGCCCAGGAGUUCUCCAAAUUUAACUUUGAGAUUGGUUACGUGCCAGGCCCAGAGAACAUUAGGGCGGACGCUCUCUCACGCAAACCUGAAUAUUUGGAGGGGAGGGAGCACCCGAAGAGAGACAUGUCAUUCCAGAGGACCGCUGGGUGUGUGGGGCGGCAUUGGUGGGACAAAGAGAACUGGUAGAGGAAACAGAGAAUGAUGAAUACGCCCAGAAUAAGCUCAGAGGUCUUAGGGGUGAGGGAGAGGAACCAGGGGUUUCGAGGAAAGAAAUGGAGCUUUGUAUUACAAAGGGGCACUGUAUAUCCCUGAAGGAGACUUAAGGGGAGGGUACUCAAGCAGUUGCACGACAGCCCUACGGCGGGGCAUUUUGGACAACACAAAACCAUGUGGUUGGUCACCAGGGAAUUUUGGUGGCCUAAGGUGAGGGAAGAUGUACGUGAGUAUGUAAGAGGGUGCGAGCAAUGCCAGCGAGCCAAAGGGGAAAGGCGGGCGCCGGCGGGGCUAUUAGAACCCUUACCAACCCCAGAACGACCUUGGGAGGCAGUGUCGAUAGAUUUUAUGACUGAUCUGCCGAAGUCCAAAGGGAAAACAGCCAUCAUGGUGGUGGUAGACCUACUAACAAAGAUGUGCCACUUUGUAGCUUGCUCGCAUGCAGUCACGGCGGAAGAGACAGCGAAGUUAUUUGUAGAACACAUUUUUAGGUUGCACGGGGUGCCAUUGAGGGUGGUCUCAGACCGAGGAAAACAAUUUACUUCCAGGUUCUGGAGGAAGCUCAUGAGCUUACUGCAGGUGGAGGUCAAUUUUUCGACUGCCCGGCACCCUGAAACCAACGGGCAGGCGGAAAGAGCAAACGGUGUCCUCCAGCAAUACCUGAGGUGUUAUGUCAAUGACAGAGAGAAUGACUGGGUAGAAAAGUUGGCGCUGGCGGAAUUUGCCUACAACAAUGCCGAGAAUGUGUCCACAGGGAUGAGCCCCUUCUUGGCUAAUUAUGGGUGUCAUCCCAGGGCUUUCCCAGGGGGAGAUGGGGAGAGAUGGAGCGUCCCGGCAGCCGAGCAUUUUGUGGAAGAAAUGGAAGCAAUCCAUCGUCAGCUCCAACUCAACUUAGAAAGGGCGAAGGAAGAAUACAAGAGGCAGGCAGACAAGAACCGAAGGGAAGGUGAAACCAUAAGGGUGGGAGAUAGGGUGUGGCUGUCAACCCAAGGGUUGCCGCUCAAAGGAGGUUGUAAGAAAUUAAGACCCAGGAGGUUGGGUCCCUUUGAGGUCAUUCAACAGGUCAACCCAGUGGCUUUCAGGCUCCGGUUACCCAACCACAUGAAACUGCACCCAGUAUUUCACAGGUCGUUACUGUCACCGUACGAAGGGGGACGAGAAGGGAUGGCCACUGGGACCGGUCAUAGAAGAAAGAGAAUGCAGCAGCCAUGUGGCAGAAAUCCUCGACGCCAGGUGGAAGGGGGAUCAGGUGGAGUAUUUGGUAGCGUGGGAAGGAGAACCGGAGUCAGAAAACACUUGGGUAAUGGCCGAAGAUAUCAAUGACGAGGUAUUGAUAGAAACGUUCCAUCAAAGGUUCCCAAGGAAACCUCAGCCUGUGGAGAGGUUCCGGAGGGAAUACUUUGGGACCACUGAUGAGGAGGAGGAGUUGGAAGGAUUCCCGGACUCGGAAGGGGAAGGGGAGAUGGACUCUGAGGAGGAGGAGUACUUCGAGACCAGGAACCGCAACAGGUGGAGAGAAGUGUUCGAGACAUCGGAAGAUGAAGGAAGUUCAUUCCGGGUUUUGCCUCCUCACCGCCCGUAGAGGAGGGGGCGAGAGGGGUGAAAGGGGCCCUGGAGGGGAGGUGGAUGUCAGGGAACUGCCAUCGGAAGGAAGGGAGGUGAAAGGGCUCACACAGGUUGGGAGAGACUCAGCAGCUGAAGAGGGAACCAGUAGGGGGAGAGGAGCUGAGCUGAGGGAAAGUGAGCUGGAGGGAUGGCUCAGAGACACUUCCAGCGAAAACAGUGGGGAGGUUUCAGGACCUCCUGUAGGAACACCCACUCCUCGCCGGAAACUGUCACGCAGAGAGUCCAGAAGACGUGUUUCCGUUAAGGAGCUUUUAUGUUGGAAGCGAUUCCGAAAGCAACCACUGUCGGAAUCUGCUAGUGACUAGAGGAGCCAUGUCUGAGGGGCUCCGUCACAGACAGAGGUUUGUGGACUUGAACAAACUCUGAGGGGAUACUAUUUUACGCACAAGCAGCUCAUCAUCCCAUCACAGUUACAUAUAUAUGCAUGGUUUGUGGGCACAUAUUAUUAUAAUGAAGGAAGAGGGAAACUGAACAAGUUUUGCACCAAGGGAGGAAAUAUGAGGAUAUUAAACCCAUCAAAGCUAGAUGGGUGAAUGGGCCCAUUCCCAAUACCAUUUGCAUCAGUGUUAUGUGCAUCCAUCACAUUUGACUGUAAUUAUCUCCACAUUUGGCUGCAAUUAUCCCUACAAAUUACUAAAUGGCAAUGCAGAUGUAAUAUGUCUAGGAUGCCUCUGAAGCCUCCUGGAAUUAUGGCUAAGUGAAUGAAAACACGGGGAAGACCAAUGGCGGGGUGGAAGAGAGACAAACAGAUCUCUCAGAAUGGAAAAUGGAAAAAAGACACCGGCUAUCUGAAAAUGCUAAGAUAUACACUGAUAUAAGAAAUGGAGAGUAUAUUGGAGAAUGGAAACCCACUGUUACCAGAGAUGCAAUUGUUGCAGUGCCAUCGAUUUUAAUUUUGAGUUUUUUUGUGGAUAAGAACUGCCUCAACUAUUGAUUUAUAUGACACAGGUUUCAUGAAUAAGGCUGGUGCCAAAAUGAGUACUUGGAGAAGCAUCCUAGCAACAGAGCAAUCAUUCGGUUUGUUAUUUCAGCAGACUUUGAAUUCAUUGUUGGAGCUAUGCUCAUCUUUAUUACCAGUUUGCUUGCUUUAGAUGUUCUCAGCAUAUUUUUUCCUCACAGCGAUGGAAGAGCAGCAGUGGAGCCAGAUCUAAAAUAUAAUUUGCUGAUUUGAUGACAAUUAUGUGGGAGGGAGGCAGGAGAGGAUAUAUUGUUUAAUGAUAUCCUUCCUAACUUGCGCUAGCAAGUUCUAUAUCUUAGCAGAGUUUAAACAUUCCCCUUUAAACCAGGGGUCAGUAAACUUUUUCAGCAGGGGGCCAGUCCACUGUCCCUCAGACCUUGUGGGGGGCCGGACUAUAUUUUUUGGGGGGAUGAACAAAUUCCUAUGCCCCACAAAUAACCCAGAGAUGCAUUUUAAAUAAAAGCACACUCAUGUACUUUUACUCAUGUAAAAACACCAGGCAGGCCUCACAAAUAACCCAGAGAUGCAUUUUAAAUCAAAGGACACAUUCUACUAAUGUAAAAACACGCUGAUUCCUGGACUGUCUGUGGGACAGAUUUAGAAGGCGAUUGGGCCGCAUCUAGCCCCCGGGCUUUAGUUUGCCUACUCUUGCUUUAAACGCACAGCGGUUUGCUUGUUGCAAGUUCGUCUGAACCUCUCUAUAUAAGAUUCUUGGUAAGAUCCCUUCUUGUCCCUCUUAAAAAGAAUAGAAAUGACAAUCUUAUUAAAGUGAAUAUAAAAGCAGUUUACUCACAAUCAUUCAGUUCACAGUUGGAUCCCUGAAGGCAGACUUAGGUUACAAAACUAUAUACACAUGUGGAACUAUCCCAUAAGGGAAUAGUUCCUAAGUGACUGCGAACAGGCAGUCACUUCUGCUCACAUGUAGUACAGCAAAAUGGAGAAGAGACAAACGAAGGAGCUGUGCUCCCUUGCCCAGGUUUGGCCUCACAAACUCUAGUCACAUGCAGAGGAAGUUUUGUCCCGGCUCAGGAGGAAACAGGAAGUUUUCUCCUGGGUGAUACAAAGCAUUCCGUAGCAUAUCCACUCUAGGAAUGUUGUACUUGACUGUUAUAAUAGUGGUGCCCCGCAAGACGAAUGCCUCAGAAGACGAAAAACUCGCAAGACGAAAGGGUUUUUCGUUUUUUGAGGUGCUUCGUAAGACGAAUUUCCCUAUGGGCUUGCUUCGCAAGACGAAACGUCUUGCGAGUUUGUUUCCUUUUGAAGCGGGAACUGGGCUGGCAGGGAGCGAGCGAGGGAGCGACCUACCUUUUCCAGAGGGAUCCUCUUCUGGAGAGGGCACAGAGGAGGCAGGUGGGCUGGGAUCCAGCGGAUCUGGCUGGGUCUCUGCGCCGCCGCCACCUUUGCCUCUCUCUUUCUCUCCCCCUCCCCACGUGGCUGCUCCAUUUUGCCCUACCUGCGCGAAGGCAGGAGGAGGCGGGACAAAGGAGGAGGAGGAGGAGGCAUCCACUGCACUUGGGCCGCCGUGAAGGCGCCUUUGCGGGGGUGGGAAAAAGCCGGGAGCAGCUGCCGAGACUGUGGGGAGCCCGGCGGCGUGGCGCAAGGUAACGGGGGGAGCAAGGGAGAGUCCGCGCCGGGCGCUUCGUGCGUCCGCCCUCGGUUCCUGGGCUCGAACUGCCUUUGGCACCUCGUGGAGAGAGAGGGAGAGGAGCAGGCUGGGGCUUUGGUGUGGGACGCGGUUUGGCGGAGCGAAGACGCGGCAAGGCUUGGCGACAGAGGAAGGGGGGCUGUUUUCGUGGGGAGGUGGGAGGGGGUGUCUUUGCCUCUUCCCGGCAACAGAUCCUCCAGGCUGGGGAAACUCCUCCUGCUGGGGAGUGACCCGCUUUGUGCUUUGCCCGCUAUCCCAUUAUAAUACAGUACCAGGGUGCAUCCGUGCUUCACAAGACGAAACAAUCCGCAAGACGAAGAAACUCGCAGAACGGAUUAAUUUCGUCUUGCGAGGCACCACUGUAAUAAUAAUAAUAAUAAUAAUAAUAAUAUAAUAUUAUUAUUUAUACCCCGCCCAUCUGGCUGGGCUUCCCCAGCCACUCUGGGCGGCUUCCAAAAGAAUAUUGAAAUACUGUGAUACAUCAAACAUUAAAAGCUUCCCUAAACAGGGCUGCCUUCAGAUGUCUUCUAAAAGUCUGGUAGUUGUUGUUCUCUUUGACAUCUGGUGGGAGGGUGUUCCACAGGGAGGGCGCCACUACCGAGAAGGCCCUCUGCCUGGUUCCCUGUAACUUGGCUUCUCGCAGUGAGGGAACUGCCAGAAGGCCCUCAGCGCUGGACCUCAGUGUCCAGGUAGAACGAUGGGGGUAGAGACGCUCCUUCAGGUAUACUGGACUGAGGCCGUUUAGGGCUUUAAAGGUCAGCACCAACACUUUGAAUUGUGCUCGGAAACAUACUGGGAGCCAAUGUAGGUCUUUAAAGACCGGUGUUAUAUGGUCUCGGCGGCCGCUCCCAGUCACCAGUCUGGCUGCUGCGUUCUGGAUUAGUUGUAGUUUCCGGGUCACCUUCAAAGGUAGCCCCACGUAGAGCGCAUUGCAGUAGUCCAAGCGGGAGAUAACCAGAGCAUGCACCACACUGGCGAGACAGUCCACAGGCAGAUAGGGUCUCAGCCUGUGUACCAGAUGGAGCUGGUACACAGCUGCCCUGGACACGGAUUUAACCUGUGCCUCCAUGGACAGCUGUGAGUCCAAAAUGACUCCCAGGCUGCGCACCUCGUCCUUCAGGGGCACAAUUACCCCAUUCAGGACCAGGGAAUCCUCCACACCUGCCCGCCUCCUGUCCCCCAGAAACAGUACUUCUGUCUUGUCAGGAUUCAAUCUCAAUCUGUUUGCCGCCAUCCAUCCUCCAACCGCCUCCAGACACUCACACAGGACCGUCACCGCCUUCACUGGUUCUGAUUUGAAAGAGAGGUAGAGCUGGGUAUCAUCCGCAUACUGAUGAACACCCAGCCCAAAACCCUGAUGAUCUCUCCCAGCGGCUGCAUGUAGAUGUUGAAAAGCAUGGGGGAGAGGACAGAACCCUGAGGCACCCCACAAGUGAGAGCCCAGGGGUCUGAACACUCAUCCCCCACCACCACUUUCUGAACACGGCCCAGGAGGAAGGAGCGGAACCACUGUAUGACAGUGCCCCCAGCUCCCAGCCCCUCAAGACGGUCCAGAAGGAGUUUCACAUCCCACAAAUAUAGGAGAUGGGAUAUGGCAGAGUCAGAUGAUGAUGAUGAUGAUUUAUACCCUGCCCAUCUGGCUGGGUGUCCCCAGCCACUCUGGGCAGCUUAUAGCAUGCUUCUCACAUGUUGGGAACAGGGAGAGGAAUCUUCACUUCACCAUCGUAAGAGAUUGCCUCCUUCCAUGAAAGCCUGCUCACACCCUUAGACUUGGCAGAGGGGCCCUUUUAUGUCCUAUCAAUGAUGACUGGACCUAAUGGUCAGGGGUCCCUUUACCUUUACUAAACUGCAUUAACUGAACGGCUUUGUCAGAGAGGUAAGAAAACGUUUUCUCUAUAACGGCCACUCAAGGGCUAAUGUUCAUCAAUUGUUCGGUUACAAACAAAAUCCUGGUUCUUUGCGUUUAAGAUUUAAGAGUCCUUGUAAAACUGAAGAUGUGAGGAAAUGUUUCUUUCUGAUUUACAGGUUGCGCAGCUUUUGACGGUUCUGAGCUCUGCUUCUUUAUGGGUUUCUUUGGCUUGUUCAAGAAAGAUGGAAUUGCCACUUCGCUGUAUUGAAGCUGGUAAUCCUUUCUCCUUCCCUUUUGAACUGCCUUUUAGAAAAAGAAUGGAAUGGCUAUUUGUGCCUGAUUGAUGUUUUGGUUGUGAGAAACCUAAAACUUUGGGAAAUCAUUGCAAGAUCCAUUUUCCAUGUUCCUAGCACUUUUGAUAGCCAUUUGUUGAUUUUAUUUCAGACCAACUUAGAAACACGAGCAGGUGUAUUUAUACUGCAAAGCAAGCCCUGUCUUCCUUGCAAGGAUUGUCAACCUGGUGCCCGUGGGCACCAGCACACCCACCAGUAACUCUUAUGGUGCCCCUAGUGGUCCUUGAGUUUCAUUUAGGUGGUCUGUGGCGUGUUUGUAAAAAUACAAUUAAAAAUCAUACAGCAUCUAAAUAUAGCACAUUACAGUUACUACAAACAGCAGAAAAGAGAUUUUAAGGGUCACAAUCCCCAAAUUUUAUUCCAAUCCUUGGGAAGAAUUUGUGUGCUAGUAUCUAGUUACCAUAUUUUUUAGGGGUUCCAUAGAUCUGUAAGUCACAUUAAGCAACACGGAGUACGAUUUAGAAACUAAUCCUCCCCUCCCCCACUCAUUGUGCUUAUAAAACUUUUCAAAUUGUGUUAAGGGUCUCAGAGCUUCAUUUGAUUUAAAUAAAUCCAGUUAGUAUUAAGAUUCGACAAAGUUAAAUUUAUAUGGCUAAUAGAUACAGGUUGAUUGUUGAUAUAGAAAUGUUGUAAUGUGUAUUAACCUUUGGAUCCCCAGGGUUCAAAUUGCUUAUCUCUACCUUGCUGGGGGGAAAAAUCCGGCUGAUGUAAUAUUGGGAUUAAUGGAAAAGUUAUAGGUGCAAUCUUAGGUUGCCAGGUUUUCCAUAGCCAAAUAGUACAAUUCUAUAUUUCCAGUACUGAUUGAACUGCUUCCUUAUUGCUGAAUAUUCCUUAUUAUCCUGAUUAUUUUUUGCUCCUUCAGAAGCAAUUCUAAAGUGACGUACCUGUAAUUCAAUGAAACAGGCAUUAUCCAGGAAACACACCGAUUGUGGACAAGUGACAAUGAAAAGGAAAGCAUAGCUAAUAACUGCAAAUAGAAGGCCACAAAACACAGUGCCGGUGGAGAUGGAAACAGCAGCUCCUGCAAUUAAAAAGAGGGAAAGGGUUACGUAUUUUUAAAUUUUGAAAUGUGUCAAGCUUCUAGUAUUUGGGAGGCAUAUGGGUGGACGAUUACCUGUUUGUUUGUUUGUUUGUUUGUUUGUUUGUUUGUUUGUUUACAACUGAUUAGCAUAAUGCCUGUCAUGACAAUGAGGAGAAUGUAUAUGGAGGUACAUGUCUUAGACUGAGUCAGAACUA